RNAcentral lists this ribosomal RNA (650 nucleotides) under uncultured marine bacterium. Its description in RNAcentral is "bacterial SSU rRNA". It matches the Rfam family "Bacterial small subunit ribosomal RNA", at positions 8 to 640 of the family's 1533-position model. The record is from RNAcentral.
AGAGUUUGAUCCUGGCUCAGGAUGAACGCUGACGGCGUGCCUAAUACAUGCAAGUCGAGCGAACGUCAUAGAAGCUUGCUUCUAUGACGUUAGCGGCGGACGGGUGAGUAACACGUGGGCAACCUGCCUGUAAGACUGGGAUAACUUCGGGAAACCGAAGCUAAUACCGGAUAGGAUCUUCUCCUUCAUGGGAGAUGAUUGAAAGAUGGUUUCGGCUAUCACUUACAGAUGGGCCCGCGGUGCAUUAGCUAGUUGGUGAGGUAACGGCUCACCAAGGCAACGAUGCAUAGCCGACCUGAGAGGGUGAUCGGCCACACUGGGACUGAGACACGGCCCAGACUCCUACGGGAGGCAGCAGUAGGGAAUCUUCCGCAAUGGACGAAAGUCUGACGGAGCAACGCCGCGUGAGUGAUGAAGGCUUUCGGGUCGUAAAACUCUGUUGUUAGGGAAGAACAAGUACGAGAGUAACUGCUCGUACCUUGACGGUACCUAACCAGAAAGCCACGGCUAACUACGUGCCAGCAGCCGCGGUAAUACGUAGGUGGCAAGCGUUAUCCGGAAUUAUUGGGCGUAAAGCGCGCGCAGGCGGUUUCUUAAGUCUGAUGUGAAAGCCCACGGCUCAACCGUGGAGGGUCAUUGGAACUGGGGAA